CCUGCCCCUAGAAGCACUGCAGAUGUGGCUGCUGUGUCACAUGUGUGUCAUAGGAGGCAGAGGAGAGAGGCCAUGUGUAUGCUCAGUCUUCGGACCUGUGAACAACUCUGAAUGAUUGACACUCUAACAUU
This is a small nucleolar RNA of Apodemus sylvaticus (European woodmouse), 131 nucleotides long. RefSeq annotates it as small nucleolar RNA SNORA17. The record is from RefSeq and is a predicted model, not a curated record. NCBI's taxonomy places the organism in Eukaryota, Metazoa, Chordata, Mammalia, Rodentia, Muridae. The transcript has a single exon.